UUUAACUUCUGCUUUGCACCAUGGAUCCAUCAAAUCCUUUAUUUGGAAUGAGGAAGAAUUGGUAUUCCUGGGCAUUUACUAUUUUUAAAGUGAAAAAGGCCAACAGAAAGCCUGCAUGUUCACUUUAAAAUAUCCUAUCCUUCUGGACUAUUUCACUUUCUCUGAAAUCACUGAUUCAGCUGAUGGUGACUCCGCUGCUUGUGUUUCGUUAUCUGAAAAGCUGCUUCCCGAGUAGAAGAAACAUGAAAGAUCAGGAAAGUGACUAACAGCAUGGGAGCCUUGAUGACGCCUAUCAAGUGCAAUAAAUGAAAACACCAGGGAUUGUGGCA
RNAcentral lists this long non-coding RNA (329 nucleotides) under Lonchura striata (white-rumped munia). RNAcentral describes it as "domestica (Bengalese finch) lncRNA (ENSLSDG00000016680.1)". Lineage: Eukaryota; Metazoa; Chordata; Aves; Passeriformes; Estrildidae. The record is from RNAcentral.